RNAcentral lists this transfer RNA (74 nucleotides) under Chrysotila carterae. RNAcentral's name for it is "tRNA-Met". It matches the Rfam family "tRNA". Rfam says of the family: Transfer RNA (tRNA) molecules are approximately 80 nucleotides in length. The record is from RNAcentral. Lineage: Eukaryota; Haptophyta; Isochrysidales; Isochrysidaceae.
UAGCGUAUAGUUUAACGGUUCAAAACAUAGUACUCAUAAUGCUUGAAUAGUUGGUUCGACUCCAACUACGCUAA